This 197-nucleotide ribosomal RNA is filed under the name uncultured bacterium. RNAcentral describes it as "partial 16S ribosomal RNA". It matches the Rfam family "Bacterial small subunit ribosomal RNA", at positions 307 to 525 of the family's 1533-position model. The record is from RNAcentral.
GCCUCCUCGCGCCAUCAGACUCCUACGGAGGCAGCAUGGGGAAUAUUGCGCAAUGGGCGAAGGCCUGACGCAGCGACGCCGCGUGGGGGAUGAAGGCCUUCGGGUUGUAAACCCCUUUCAGCAGGGACGAAGCGAAAGUGACGGUACCUGCCACGAACGAAGCGCCGGCUAACUACGUGCCAGCAGCCGCGGAAUUC